Molecule: ribosomal RNA, 460 nt
Filed under: uncultured bacterium
Lineage: Bacteria
Description: partial 16S ribosomal RNA
Rfam family: Bacterial small subunit ribosomal RNA
Source: RNAcentral
CCUACGGGAGGCUGCAGUGAGGAAUAUUGGUCAAUGGCCGGAAGGCUGAACCAGCCAUGCCGCGUGAAGGUCAGUGCCCUAUGGGCGUUAAACUUCUUUUGUGCGGGAGCAAUAAUGGUCACGUGUGGCCAGACGAGAGUACCGUACGAAUAAGCAUCGGCUAACUCUGUGCCAGCAGCCGCGGUAAUACGGGGGAUGCAAGCGUUAUCCGGGUUUAUUGGGUUUAAAGGGUGCGUAGGCUGGGAGGUAAGUCAGCGGUGAAAUGCCCCCGCUCCACGGGGUGAAGUGCCAUUGAUACUGCCUGGCUGGAAUGCGGAUGCCGUGGGAGGAAUGUGUGGUGUAGCGGUGAAAUGCAUAGAUAUCACACAGAACACCGAUUGCGAAGGCAUCUCACGAAUCCGCGAUUGACGCUGAUGCACGAAAGCGUGGGUAUCAAACAGGAUUAGAUACCCGGGUAGUC